CCUACGGUAGGCAGCAGUGAGGAAUAUUGGUCAAUGGCCGAGCGGCUGAACCAGCCAAGUCGCGUGAGGGAAGACGGCCCUACGGGUUGUAAACCUCUUUUGUCGGGGAGCAAAGCGAACCCCGUGUGGGUCAUUGAGAGUACAAGAAGAACAAGCAUCGGAUAACGCCGUGCCAGCAGCCGCGGUAAUACGGAGGAUGCGAACGUUAUCCGGAUUUAUUGGGUUUAAAGGGUGCGCAGGCGGAGGUGCAAUUCAGCGGUCAAAGUGCGGGGCUCAACCCCGUACUGCCGUUGAAAGUGCAUCCCUUGAGUGCGCGCGAAGUAUGCGGAAUGCGUGGUGUAGCGGUGAAAUGCAU
This 355-nucleotide ribosomal RNA is filed under the name uncultured bacterium. Its description in RNAcentral is "partial 16S ribosomal RNA". It matches the Rfam family "Bacterial small subunit ribosomal RNA", at positions 338 to 691 of the family's 1533-position model. The record is from RNAcentral.